CACAAAUGUGGUUCCUAUGUAGAAGAAACGAGAGAGGGCAUUUUCUGUGGAGUUGUGGAAAAUGUUGAGGAGGAUUUGAGGGAAGAGAAAACCAUCGAGUACCAAACCACCAUAAGAUCUUAAACCCACCCAAAGGGAACGCUGAUAAGUGCUGCUGUAAGCGUACUCCAUGCCCUCACCCACCGUGUUGUUCCUCCAAUUCACAUACACAGCAAUUAAACCUCCAGAUAUAUAUAGUGGUAGAGACAAAUAGAGUGUCCUCUUCUCAGGAGCCAAGAACGCCUUUUGCUUCCCAUCAGCGAAUCGUGCAGACCAUACAAGCUGCAGAAGUCGGAACUGCAGCAGGAAAGCUACCAUCGUGAUUACCCUUACAAUUACCUCAUUCGCUUCCAACCAUCCACCACUCUGUAGAAGGAAUGUUGUGCGACUUUCCUUUGGCACAAACAAAGCUUCAAAAUUCAGCAUUAGAGGGAUCAUGCGCCCGAGAGUAAGGACCAGAAGCAUGAUAAGUGAGAUGAAAGGGAAAACAGCGGGAUGCUUUUUCACAUACAAGAUCUGGUAUCCCACAAAGACACAAACGAGAGUAUUAGAGAUCAAAGACAUGAUGAUCUCCCGAUCCAUCCUCCGUAUUGACUCCCUCGAAUGCUGACGGUAAAAUGAAGCUGCAGAAAAAGAAAGAGGCUCGAAGUACAGAGGAUCGGAUUUUUUCCCUGUGUAUUCAAUGGUUCCCUGGAUAUAAUCAUUUGAAUCUACUGGAGGGAACUGGACAUUUAUAAGAAUCUUACAGUCCAUUGAAUCAUUGUCUGAUGUCCGAUUGUUUGAGUCAAGAUAUCUGCAGCCCACCAUACAAAGUUCUCCUGUUUCAGCAUCAUAAAUUCCUUCAGAGAAGACUUGAACAGGAGUAGACUCGUUCAGCGGGAAGCUCAUGCUGUAGCUGAUGUUCAGUGGGAUGCUGUGGUUGGUUUUUCCUUUAACCGGAGAGGAAGCACCCCUCAAGCUUGAUGACACCACAAAGCUGUUUUGUCGAGAAAUUUGAUCACCCACAGCGAUGGGCUGAGAGAAGCCCCAUCCUAUUCUUCUUCUCUUUGAGUCCCUGACCACCAUAUUGAACUUCAUGUCAUUCGAAGUUGCAUCUGGAUGCCGCUUUCCUUUGUUCUUUCUGGGCUGCUUCUCUGAGCAUGACUUUCUUGCUUUGUCAACAACAGUGUACUGGUACUUCGACCCGGGGAUCCCAGAUACAAAAUUAUCAUAACUUCGAAACAUGAUCGUAUUGAAGUAACCCAGAUCAUUCUCACGUUUGUUACUCCAAAUAUGCCCCAUCAUACCACUAGUAUUUCUGAUUGACCAAACGGCAGGGAAUCUCAAACUCAACCUCACUGAACAAUCCUCAAUAUGAGAUUUAUUGAACGAGUUGGCUGAAUUCAAGAUUCGACAGCCAACAACACACAGCUGAUUCUUAUUCACAUCCCAUGAUCCUUCCGCAACCAAUGUUGUGUUUGGAGUGAAGGGUUGGUAAUAAUCAGCAUAGCUACUGUUGUGGAAUUCUAUCAGGAAUCUCAAACUUCGUUUAUCUUCUAAACAUUGAAUUAAUUUCAAGGACAUGAUUUGUGGUAAAUAUCCAACACCCUCACCAAAAGGAUUGCAACUACUUGUGGACUUGCAAGCACUUGAGUACUCCAGUUUAAAAAAAGUAUACCAACGAGAGAAUGCAUUGCAAAUACGUGUACUCAGCUUUAAGCUUAGUGACAAACUCUUUGGAACAUCAAUACCCCCGGUACAGACAUGAUCGAGUGCUUUUCCAACCUCAGUGAACUCGUAGUUAUUUUGAGGGAACAUCAACAAGGAGAUUGGCUUGAAAUAUCCUGAAUCACCAGCAGUACUCGAGCUUUCCAAUAUUCCCCUCACCAAACUACUGAUAGUGCUUGAUUUUCUAACUUCAUCAAGCUUAAGUAGAGCGGCAAGAACAACAUGUUCACCCUCCUCUGAGUAAGUAGAACCAGAGCCCACCAUGCAAAGCUUGCCGGUAGAUACUGACCAGAACCCUUGUACUUCAAAACUCAAAGGACCCCUCGGAGAUCUGUCGUCGUACAUGUAAAACUCCAUAUCCGGGGUUUUCAGGAUCAAACUCGCCUCAACCUCAAAGACACCAUCAACAUCAGUACUAUAGACACUGUGGGUAUGAAUGAAUAGCUCUCUCCUGUUACUCGAUGGAUAAUGGUAACGAGAUGAGUUUGGAUGAUUCAAUAUGUCUUCCCCACCAAGAAAGUACCCACCUUGCUCUGCAGCAAAAGGGAUGGUGGUGAUUUCGGGAACAUCAUUGGGAGUUGAUUCAGGGACAAUAGAGGCACAGUGUUUGUUGUAAUUAGGGAUGUCAAGUUUGGAGGAAGAGACCAUGGGGGUGUAAGAGGUGGUCGAAAGGACCAAGAACAUUGCGACGUGAAGCCAUGAUAGAUAACACCAUGUGCUUGGAGAGGAAUUAGAGGUCAUCAUCCGAUAUUUCUUAGACAAUGAGGAUGGUAAGGCUGGUCUGAACAUCUGGUGGAAUGAAGCGGCGGAUAUAUACUAGACUAGGGUAGCAGUCAUCCGGCAAAGUUUUCUUGCUUUUAAGAACCACGCAAUCUACGCAAAUGGAGAACAUCUGCUCCUGAUAAAGAUAGGGACAGCUUAGAGUACCGUGUCAUAUUUGAAGAGUGCACGCUAGGUGUGCUUGAUUUUUUACUGAAUGAAUAAAAAUAGUAAGAUUUAUCUCGAUAUCUCAUGAAGAACAAGACUCUAAUAUUAUAUAAAAUAAUUAUUUUAAUUUAAUAAUUUAAAUUGUUAGAUAAUAUUUUAAAAUAUAAUUUAUAUUAUUUUAUAAUAUAUAUAUUGUUGGAAAUCAAACACAUUUAUAAAUAUAAAAAAAUUAUUAUUCAUGAAAUGAAUAACUCAUGUUAAUUAUCUCGAGAUAGCACCCUAGAUUCUAUAGAUCUCUAAUACCAAUUGGGAUUAGGGUGUGAUUAAAUCUAGGUGAAAUAAAUUUGAUAAUUUAUUAAAUCUAUGAUGAUUUAGGCUUAACUCAUGAUUAAACCCAAAUUGACAAUUCACAAAGCCUAUGGUUUUAACAUGACUGAACUCAAAUGUAUUGAAUCUAGUAUUUUAGUAAACUCAUGAUUCUCUGUACUCAAUUGAUAGCUGAAUCUAAACACAUUGAAUCUUAUAUUUUGCUAGAUUGAUGAUUCUCGAGGCUUAGUUUAUGGCUGAAUUUAAAUAUAUUAGAUUUAGCAUCUUGUCAAAAUCAUGUUUGAUUGAGUUAUCAUCUUGUUACAAGGUUGAGCUCUUUCAACGCACAAAAAUAAAGAAUAAAAAUACUAAAUCAUCAUAACAGAUGGUUUAUGCUAUGAUUAGUAUAUGUGUUCUUGGAUUUGUUGUUUGGGUCAUUAUAUGUUUAACAUGGACUUAGGCAUUGAUAGUUUAUUAAAAUUCUUUUUUUUUAUAAGUUCUCUUCUUAAAAUAGCCUGAAAGGAUGUUUAGAUACAAGAAAAUUAGUGAAAUCCUUAGUAAAUUGAAAAUCUUAAUUUAAAUAAGAAUAAGAUUCGAAAAACAAGUAGCAAUAUUGAUGUGGAUCGAGUAACAAGACAACAAAAGGGCUGAUUAUUGUUGCACAAUCAAGCACGUUAAAUUUUCUUACGUAACAGUUGGAGUUUCCUCUCAUUUCAUUAUUUAGCUUUUACUCUCCCAAUUAAUUCGGGACGUUUCUUUUUGUUUUUUAGUUUUUAUUUCCUCAUUAAUUCUAGACUGUUUCCCAAUUUAAUGAAGUUGUUUUAGGAUUCUAGGAAUUCUGUUUUCUCCACUGGGGACCUUGUGGACUAAGCUUUGUUUUUGUCUGAUUAUUGUUUUUUGUGUUGUGGUUUGUGUGUUUAUUUUUUAUGCAUUUCCUUUAUUUAUUUCUUAUACGCUUUAAUUUCUGUAUAUAUUUGUUCAUGCAUUGUAUAGAAUUGUCUCAUCCAUCACUUACUUUAAAUUUUAUACAAGCACGCACAACUUGGCCAAGCAGAGUUUGCUCAUAACCAUGCAGUCAAUUGUAGCACCAAGCUCAGCCCCUUUAAAAUUAUGUAUGGGUUUCUCCCACGAUGUCCACUUGACUUGGCUAAACUCUCGAACAACACUAAAGUUAAUCACAAGGCAGAGGAUUUUGUCACCCAGCUGCAUGACAUUCACAACCCUACCCGACAGAACUUGCUGGAAUCUAUCGCCAAAUUCAAACACGAUGAGGACCGCAAGCAGCGUCAUGUCAAUUUUGAGGUUGGGGACUUCGUUUAGGUUGUGCUAGCGAAGGAUCGCUUUCCUAUAGGCGAGUAUAAUAAAUUGUUCUGCACGAAAGAUUGGUCCAGUAGAAAUUAUUGAGAAAAUUAAUUCAAAUGCCUAUCGCCUAAAGCUGCCCAGUCAUCUUCGAAUAGCAAAUGUAUUUAAUGUCAAACAUUUGCUUCCUUUCCACAGGGGAUUUGUCAUCAGAGGAGGAAGAUCUCCCGAAUUCGUGGUUGAAUUCUUCUCAGCUUGGGGAGGAUGAUGUGGACCAGGUAGCAAGACAAUAAAAUAGCUUACUAUUGUUGCACAAUCAAGCACAUUAAAUUUUCUUACGUAACAGUUGGAGUUUCCUCUCAUUUCAUUAUUUAGUUUUUACUCUCCCAAUUAGUUCGGGACGUUUCUUUCUGUUUUUUAGCUUUUAUUUCCUCAUUAAUUCUGGACUGUUUCCCGGUUUAAUGAAGUUGUUUUAGGACUCUAGGAAUUCUGUUUUCUCUAUUUAUUUGGUUGUAAGCACUUUGUGAAAGAUAGACAGAAUAAAAAAAAAUCCAAAACUCCUUUGAGUAGUUAACUCAAAUAUCUUUUUUUCUUUGUUUUUCGCGGAAUUACAUAUUAAAAAAACAUUGUGUGUUAGAACGUGUGUGAAUUCCUUUUGAUCUGCAUUAGAAAUGGAGAAAAAUGAAAAUGAAAACAACUAGCAAGCUAGCUACUCCUGGGUAUAUAGAAUUUAAGAACAAUCUAGAAAAAAUUAAAUUUGAUUUAAUAAUAAAAUAAAAAACUAUGAUUGUUUUUAACAAUUAAGAAAAAUAAUUAUCCAAGAAUAAUGAAAAUAGUGCCGCCGAGGUCGGUAGCCAAUGAAUCUUUGCACAUAGAGAGGUGUGACGUCUUUCAAUUAGUUCUGAAUUCAAUUGACAUAAAUUAAAUGCUACAUUUAAGGUGCGUCAAAGGGCAUAUCGGAUUACCAUUAUAAAACUGAUUAAAUUAAUUAAUCUAAAUGAAUCUCUACAUUGUUCAACAAAGAACAAAAAAAAAUAAGAAAAAUAAAAUGUCAGCGAUUUCAUUUUCAGCAAAAAAGCAAAGACUUGGAACUUUCCAAGCAAAUCCAAGUCUAAUUUGGUGAUGAAUGCAGAAAUCGAUGUAUUGGCUCGUAGUAAGACGUGGUCUUUGCUUUAUUUUGAUCAGUCAAUGAAUAUUGUUUGCUGCAAGUGGGUGUUCAAUAUUAAACAGAAAGCUAAUGACUCUAAUUAAUUAGCAUUUUAAGGCUUUGUUUGGUAGCCAAAAGGUAUAAUCACAAAAAAAAAAAAAAAAAAAAAAACAUUUUGACUUUGAUGACACUUUCAGUGAUCUGGCAACCACUGCUUGAAUGGUACCUAUGGAAAUUUCCUAGGCUGAAUGUUUAUAAGGUGUUGCUUAAUGGUUUUCUUCAUAUUGAUGUUUCCAUGGCGCAACCCAUAAUUUUUUGUAUCCUUAAUUUCUUUCUCAUGUGUGCAAGAUAUAAUACACAUGAGAAGGAAAUUAAGUUUCCUGGUUUUAUACAAAAAAAAAUCCAGGAAGUAACUGAACCGAGCCGAACCAAUUUGGUUUGAACCAAAUUCCAGUUUGCUCUGGUUUAUAUUUUUCCGAGUGCAAGCUUGAAAUUGCACGCUGUGGUUUAGCCUUGCAAUGUUUAUAUCUAUGCCUGUUAUAAAAUGUGAUGAUAUCCAGGUUAAAAACAUUAAAAUCUACACACACACACAUAUAUAAUGGUUACAUAAUUUAUCCACAAUGAACAGCGUUUUCAAUCAAAUAAUCAACUUGACGUUUUCCAAUUUCACAACAGAGCACAAAGACUUUCUAUCUUCAUUUACUAGAAACAGGGAGCUACAAGGCUUCAACUAUCUUGAAUUUGCUAGAGCAUAUAAAUUGUCUUCCUAUCUACUUGUAAUUGCGAAUGAAGAUAAGAUCAUGCAGGGAAGUCUUUGCAAACAAGAGAUAUAUAAAGUCACACAUAAACCUUUUCGCUUCCACAGAUGUAUAUACACACAGGUAGAAACACUGUGUUGACAUGUAAAAUCACACAUGAAGAUUUAUUAGUCAUUUUAUAUAGCAGGGGUCCUAAUAUUUUAGCCCAAUCACAAACGGCGAGGGGAGGGGUGGAGUGGUGAUAAAAAUCACAUGCUCACAAAGGUUUGAACCACAAAUUAUACAUCACUAGCCACUGGUACUUUCUCGUAUCCUUCUAGCUCCUUGAAUCUUUUUGGCAAGAAACAACGACCACCGAAGCGCUGCUGCAGGUAGACGAUAGCAGCAAGAAGAAGGCCCACUAGAGGAAUAAUGAGAUCCCAUGCAGUGGAAUAAUAAUCUCCACCUGUGUCGGCAUACAUGUAUGAACCAUCAAAAUCUUCAACAGAGUAGUUAGCCCUGUAUAGAUCGUAUGCAUGCGGGAGCAAGCGCACAAAUGUGGUUCCUAUGUAGAAGAAACGAGAGAGGGCAUUUUCUGUGGAGUUGUGGAAAAUGUUGAGGAGGAUUUGAGGGAAGAGAAAACCAUCGAGCACCAAACCACCAUAAGAUCUUAAAUCCACCCAAUGGGAACGCUGAUAGGUGCUGCUGUAAGCGUACUCCAUGCCCUCACCCACCGUGUUGUUCCUCCAAUUCACAUACACAGCAAUUAAACCUCCAGAUAUAUAUAGUGGCAAAGACAGAUAGAGUGUCCUCUUCUCAGCAGCCAAGAACGCCUUUUGCUUCCCAUC
This 7010-nucleotide long non-coding RNA is filed under the name Populus tremula. RNAcentral describes it as "long non-coding RNA (PTRE_LNC001997)". The record is from RNAcentral. Lineage: Eukaryota; Viridiplantae; Streptophyta; Magnoliopsida; Malpighiales; Salicaceae.